UUUGGAAGGCUGAGGCAAGAGGAUCGCUUGAGGCCACGGGUUUGAGACCAGCCUGGGCAACAAAGUGAGACCUCCGUCUCUAC
This 83-nucleotide microRNA precursor is filed under the name Cercocebus atys (sooty mangabey). Its description in RNAcentral is "miRNA (ENSCATG00000016938.1)". The record is from RNAcentral. Lineage: Eukaryota; Metazoa; Chordata; Mammalia; Primates; Cercopithecidae.